ACGCUCGACACCUACGGGAGGCAGCAGUGGGAAUAUUGCACAAUGGGGGAAACCCUGAUGCAGCGACGCCGCGUGGAGGAAGAAGGUCUUCGGAUUGUAAACUCCUGUUGUUGGGGAAAAAGAGGAUGGUACCCAACAAGGAAGUGACGGCUAACUACGUGCCAGAAGCCGCGGUAAUCUGAGCGGGCUGGCAAGGC
This 197-nucleotide ribosomal RNA is filed under the name uncultured bacterium. RNAcentral describes it as "partial 16S ribosomal RNA". It matches the Rfam family "Bacterial small subunit ribosomal RNA", at positions 328 to 539 of the family's 1533-position model. The record is from RNAcentral.